Molecule: ribosomal RNA, 497 nt
Filed under: uncultured bacterium
Lineage: Bacteria
Description: partial 16S ribosomal RNA
Rfam family: Bacterial small subunit ribosomal RNA
Source: RNAcentral
GAUGAACGCUGGCGGCGUGCCUAAUACAUGCAAGUCGAGCGAACGGACGAGAAGCUUGCUUCUCUGAUGUUAGCGGCGGACGGGUGAGUAACACGUGGAUAACCUACCUAUAAGACUGGGAUAACUUCGGGAAACCGUAGCUAAUACCGGAUAAUAUUUUGAACCGCAUGGUUCAAAAGUGAAAGACGGUCUUGCUGUCACUUAUAGAUGGAUCCGCGCUGCAUUAGCUAGUUGGUAAGGUAACGGCUUACCAAGGCAACGAUGCAUAGCCGACCUGAGAGGGUGAUCAGCCACACUGGAACUGAGACACGGUCCAGACUCCUACGGGAGGCAGCAGUAGGGAAUCUUCCGCAAUGGGCGAAAGCCUGACGGAGCAACGCCUCGUGAGUGAUGAAGGUCUUCGGAUCGUAAAACUCUGUUAUUAGGGAAGAACAUAUGUGUAAGUAACUGUGCACAUCUUGACGGUACCUAAUCAGAAAGCCACGGCUAACUACGUG